ACCAGGCUAAUUUUUGUGUUUCACUAGAGACAGGAUUUCACCAUGUUGCCCACGCUGGUCUCGAACUCUUUGCCUCAAGAGAUCCACCCACCUCGGCCUCCCAAAGUGCUGGGAUUACAGACGUGUGCCACUGGACCCAGCCUCCUUUGCCAGUCUUAAUACUAAGUUAUUUUAUUAUUUUGGGAGAAUUGCUACAUCGAAUAUCAGCCCUUUGUCAUAUGUUUCGAGUAUUUUUCUGAAUUUGUACCUUGUCUUUGAUUUUUUUUCUUUUUUGAGACAGGGUCUUGCUCUGUCCUCCAGGCUGGAGUGCAGUGGCGGGAUCACAGCUCACUGCAGCCUCGACCUCCCGGCCUCAAGUGAUCCUCCCACCUCAGCCUGAGUAGCUGGCAUCACGCCCAGCUAAUUUUAUUUUUUGUAGAGAUGGGGGUCGCACCAUGCUGGCCAGGCUGGUCUCUAACUCCCGAGCUCAAGCCAUCCUCCCGCCUCGGUCUUCCAAAGUGCUGAGAUUGCAGGCGUGAGACACCGUGCCCAGCCGUCUUUAAUAUUUUUCACCAGGCGGAUA
RNAcentral lists this long non-coding RNA (562 nucleotides) under Homo sapiens (human). Its description in RNAcentral is "HSALNT0050850". Lineage: Eukaryota; Metazoa; Chordata; Mammalia; Primates; Hominidae. The record is from RNAcentral.